AGAGCACCUUUAACAUUUCAUUUGGUCAGCUUUGAUAUAUUGCAAAGAAAUGGUACAGCCCUGCAGCAUCUCCAUGCUCCAUGAACGAAUGAUGCAGCAUCGUUCGUUGAGAACGAAUGGGCAUCGUUGUCAACAAUCACCUCUCAGCUCUGGAACUCCCUCCCUCCUGAGGCCUGCCAGAACCGAAGCCUACACAUCUUUCAGAAGUGCUGUAAAACCUUCCUAUUUGGGCAGACAAAGUAGGUGGGAUCUGGAGUGGGUGACCCAGGAAGUUCCUUUUCAUCCUAUGUCUCUGUGACUUCCUCUCUAGCCAGUG
Long non-coding RNA from Alligator sinensis (Chinese alligator), 316 nucleotides. RefSeq lists it as uncharacterized. The record is from RefSeq and is a predicted model, not a curated record. NCBI's taxonomy places the organism in Eukaryota, Metazoa, Chordata, Crocodylia, Alligatoridae. The transcript is spliced from 3 exons.